This 218-nucleotide ribosomal RNA is filed under the name uncultured bacterium. Its description in RNAcentral is "partial 16S ribosomal RNA". It matches the Rfam family "Archaeal small subunit ribosomal RNA", at positions 474 to 690 of the family's 1478-position model. The record is from RNAcentral.
UACCAGCACCCCGAGUGGUCGGGACGUUUUAUUGGGCCUAAAGCAUCCGUAGCCGGUUCUACAAGUCUUCCGUUAAAUCCACCUGCUCAACAGAUGGGCUGCGGAAGAUACUAUGGAGCUAGGAGGCGGGAGAGGCAAGCGGUACUCGAUGGGUGAGGGGUAAAAUCCGUUGAUCCAUUGAAGACCACCAGUGGCGAAGGCGGCUUGCCAGAACGCGC